RNAcentral lists this ribosomal RNA (460 nucleotides) under uncultured bacterium. Its description in RNAcentral is "partial 16S ribosomal RNA". It matches the Rfam family "Bacterial small subunit ribosomal RNA", at positions 338 to 795 of the family's 1533-position model. The record is from RNAcentral.
CCUACGGGAGGCAGCAGUGAGGAAUAUUGGGCAAUGGGCGCGAGCCUGAACCAGCCAAGUAGCGUGAAGGAUGACUGCCCUACGGUUUGUAAACUUCUUUUAUAAAGGAAUAAAGUGAGGCACGUGUGCCUUUUUGUAUGUACUUUAUGAAUAAGGAUCGGCUAACUCCGUGCCAGCGGCCGCGGUAAUACGGAGGAUCCGAGCGUUUGCCGGAUUUAUUGGGUUUAAAGGGAGCGUAGAUGGGUUGUUAAGUCAGUUGUGAAAGCUUGCGGCUCAACCGUAAAAUUGCAAUUGAUACUGGCAGCCUUGAGUACAGUUGAGGUAGGCGGAAUUCGUGGUGUAGCGGUGAAAUGCUUAGAUAUCACGAAGAACUCCGAUUGCGAAGGCAGCUUAUUAGACUGCCACUGACAUUGAUGCGCGAAAGUGUGGGUAUCAAACAGGAUUAGAUACCCUUGUAGUC